CGCGGGGUGGAGCAGUUGGCAGCUCGUCGGGCUCAUAACCCGGAGGUCGUAGGUUCAAGUCCUACCCCCGCAA
Atopostipes suicloacalis DSM 15692 is the source of this 73-nucleotide non-coding RNA. Lineage: Bacteria; Bacillati; Bacillota; Bacilli; Lactobacillales; Carnobacteriaceae. The record is from Rfam.